This 1442-nucleotide long non-coding RNA is filed under the name Crocodylus porosus (Australian saltwater crocodile). RNAcentral's name for it is "lncRNA (ENSCPRG00005007096.1)". Lineage: Eukaryota; Metazoa; Chordata; Crocodylia; Crocodylidae. The record is from RNAcentral.
GUUUUUUCUAACUACAAGGACAUUCCUACUUGAUAUAUUAAUUCUUAAGGUAUACCAUCAAUUUAAAAUAUUAUACAUCUACUUAACAUCUUCUUUACUUAUUCUUUACUAUGCUUAUUAGGCAUAGCUUGAAGAAGCCUGAUUUUUUUUCAGAGGCUGGGAACUCAAAAGCUCAAUUUAAAACAUCUGUUUAAAUUUUUACCAGAGGUUAUACAUUAAAUGAAAUACUCCACUGACAUUUUAUUUUCAUUUACUUCUUUCUAAAUAUCCAAACCAUUCUGGCACAGGACUACAUGGACCACAUAAAGCUUUCUAGCCUGAAGUGUCCCUUUUAAACCUUCUUCUGACAUUAUAUGGGGGUGUGAAAAGCAGCAGUUUGUCUCCAUGGAAGAUUCUGUCUGACUUCUUUAGAAACUAACAGACUGACCUGUGGAUCCACUUUGAGCCAUACAAAUUUUAGGAGACUUUUUUCAAGAAGAACAGAACACCUUCUGUGUGGAGGCUUUGUAUAUCUGCAUUCCCAUACCUUCCUACUCCCAUCACCCCCUUGUCAGCAUGAGUCUUUCAACAGCUCAACAGCUCCUAGCUCUGGAACCCAACAGCUUUGAGGUUUGGAUUGAUGAAAACCAGUGGAAAGAAGUGAAAGUCUUCAAAUCCUGUUACCAAUAAAAUGAAUCAACUUUCUUCUUUGGGAGUUUUACAAUUGACUUGAACAGAAUCAGAAUUGAAAGUGUGAACUCUCGUGAAGUCAGAGGGGGGAAGAAGUAAAUCAGGAGUAAUGUCACUGAUGCUGCAAGACUUCUGCAUAUGCAGCUGCUAUAAAUUAGAAAAGAAUGGAGCCCUCAUUCAAGUUUCAUUUACUUCAUCUAAACUCAUCAGGCUUCUGUCGGACACGAGGCAGCACAUUACACCUAAUCCCUUUUAAACAGAUUUUUUUUCUCAUUAAAGUCACUGGGAGCUUUGCUACUGAGUCACCUCAAAGGAAGAAUGACUUGUGUGUUAAGGGAAAAAGCUGUUACCCUACUAUGAACGGGAAAUAAAAUUUGCAUAAAAUGUAUGAUUGAAGUCUCUGCACAAACACACACAUACCACACACACAAGUUUUCACAUAGUGCACAAUUUGUACAAUGUGUGCAUAUGUGGAGAGGAAGAAAAAAAGUCUUUUGGAAAACAAGAAUGACGACCAGUAUGCACAGUGAAGCCAGCUACACAAUUAUUUAACUUGGUCAGAUCUUUAAAGACAGCAAACUUUUUACAUGUAAAUUUACUACAUGAUCUAUUGAACUAAAUAUUUUAAUGCAACUAGAACAAGAGUACAUGUGUUAAGUGAAGAAAAAAUCAUUGUUUUUUUGGUGGCGUAGUAGAUUUCAGGUUUCUGGCACUUCAAGAUAAAUGUAUUACGUUACAAUAAACUUCUUCGCUAAUCAGAAUCUGUUUCUAUU